GAUGUACACUAUACGCACUCAACGGCCGCCAUCUUGUCUACGUAGCGGAAGAGGCGGAGCCAGGCAGAGCCGCUCAGCUCGAAAAAAAUGUUUGUAAUGGCGGCCGACGACGCCGGCGCAUUCUCCACAUUUGCUGCGUGAAUGGAGCCAUAUUGCCGGAUUGUAGAAGUAAAGAUUAAACAACACAAAGGAUAAUUUUUUUCGCGGUUCAAAGCCGGAAGUUUUUCGCGGGGUGACGAGCCGCGGCCGCUGUCGCGAGCGUCAUUUCCGGAAGGAUUCUGGCUGUCUGUAGGACCGACACUGAAGGAAGGAUCCUACCAAGGAAGUAUCCUUGACAUUAGGAUACACAGCUUCCGUGUUCCAUUCGCUGGUCCCUGCAGCGAGAGAGCGGAAGGGGAAACCCUGAGUAAACCAACAAUUUAUCAACUUUAUGCAAAAUGCAUUCAAGGGCUCCCAGUGACCUUUCCCGGUCAGCCUUUGGACCCGGCACUGCUUUUGGGGAGGACGUAGGAUGCAGAAAGAUUCGAGAGCAACUGACAGCUCAUCGGUCACGUCCACCAACCCUGCCAAAUUGAGCCAGAGGAAGGCACUGAAUCCCUACCAGCCACUGACUUUCCUGCAGGGAUUCAUUGCGUGUCUGCCACUUUGUGAGUGUUUGUGUGAGUCAAGUUCUGUUUUCAGAAUUUUUCAUUUUGUAAAAAAACUUCUUUCUCAUUUCGUAUAUUUACUUGCAGAAAAAACAUACCCUUGAAACUCAAAUCCUGACCUCGAUAUCAUUGUUUAAGUUUUUGUGGUGAAUGAUUCGACUGAUGUUCCAGCACUGCAGGAAAAGUAAACACUGUGUGGUGGAAGAAUAAUUCAGUCAGGGUCUCUUUGAAACUCCCUCUCCUGACAAUCUAAGGCCUGCAGUAUCAGGAACAUCGUCUAAAUCACUUCUCAAAACUCAUCUCUUUAAAAUCACUUUGUUAUGUUAAACCACCAGUAUAAUUCUAAUCUAUUCAAUCUAUAUUAUAUUGUGUUUGUCCAUGCCAUUGUUUUUAUUACAUGUACUCAUUGUAGGCCUAUUUGCCUACCUCACCCUACAAAUGUAUUUAAUUUGAUUUUUCCAUUUAAAGCAUUUAGUCACUUUUCUUUCCUUUUUUUCUUUUAUUAAAUAUAAUGAUCAAAAAUGUGUUUUGAAAAACAGAAAUUCUCACAGAACAGACACAUGAAAAAUGAUUACAGUUUGUACACAGACUUGUGGCUAAAACUAGUUGUUUUCCAUGCAAAGAAUACCAAAGAUAUUUAGGAUUCAAACCAUGCCCUCCCCAUCUAAUUUUAUACAAUGGACAACUUUUUCCUUAUUUGUGAUUUAUUAUCAUUUUAAGCCUUCAUUUUGAGGUCUGUGUGUAGGAAUAAUGAAACCAUUGUGUGCUUUGUCUUUUUCAAUUAAUGAAAAUAAAUAUUAUACAUUUUUGAUGGGGAAUCUCCGGAAAAAAACAUUCCUCUUUGGCUAUCGCCUAGAAUUAGGACCUGCAGGUGGCGUUGUUUAGCCCCUGGCUCUUGCAGCAGACAACACACACUCAUUAACACACACACACAAA
Molecule: long non-coding RNA, 1583 nt
Organism: Centropristis striata (black sea bass)
Lineage: Eukaryota; Metazoa; Chordata; Actinopteri; Perciformes; Serranidae
Exons: 3
Source: RefSeq, a predicted model, not a curated record